GGCAUUAGAAAUGUGAACACCGAACUUGAAGGGCCAUCUAUGUGUGAAUGCACAAAACCAAACAGCUCUCUUGUGUGAAUAGAUUAAUUCGGUUGGUGUGAAAGCAUUCAAGCAGCUUGGGAAAGCUAACUAGCCAACUUGGAGAGUUUAAAUGUGCAGCUACUCUUUGGCUGAAAAGAUGCUUGGAUAAGCCAAACAAUCAGCACACCAUGCAUUGAAGCCGUCCC
RNAcentral lists this long non-coding RNA (227 nucleotides) under Gossypium barbadense (sea-island cotton). Its description in RNAcentral is "long non-coding RNA (GBAR_LNC003976)". The record is from RNAcentral. Lineage: Eukaryota; Viridiplantae; Streptophyta; Magnoliopsida; Malvales; Malvaceae.